This 468-nucleotide ribosomal RNA is filed under the name uncultured bacterium. RNAcentral describes it as "partial 16S ribosomal RNA". It matches the Rfam family "Bacterial small subunit ribosomal RNA", at positions 28 to 507 of the family's 1533-position model. The record is from RNAcentral.
GACGAACGCUGGCGGCGUGCUUAACACAUGCCAGUCGAACGGACAGGCCCUGCUCUUGUGGGGUGCUCGAGUGGCGAACGGGUGAGUAACACGUGAGUAACCUGCCCUUGACUUUGGGAUAACUUCAGGAAACUGGGGCUAAUACCGGAUAGGAGCUCCUGCUGCAUGGUGGGGGUUGGAAAGUUUUGGCGGUUGGGGAUGGACUCGCGGCUUAUCAGCUUGUUGGUGGGGUAGUGGCUUACCAAGGCUUUGACGGGUAGCCGGCCUGGGAGGGUGACCGGCCACAAGAGGACUGAGAUACGGCCCAGACUCCUACGGGAGGCAGCAGUGGAGAAUAUGGCACAAUGGGCGGAAGCCUGAUGCAGCAACGCCGCGUUCGGGAUGACGUCCUUCGGGUUGUAAACCGCUUUCGCCUGUGACGAAGCGUGAGUGACGGUAAUGGGUAAAGAAGCACCGGCUAACUACGUG